GGGUCAGUAGGUUGGUCGUGCCACCGGUACGUACUGGUCUCACUGAUUCCUCCUUCCUGAAGAACCGUAAUGCCACUAAUUUGGUGCUGCGGGGAAACAGGACUGUUACUUUGAAAAAAUUAGAGUGUUUAAAGCAAGCUAACGCUUGAAUACAUUAGCAUGGAAUAAUGAAAUAGGACGAUCGAUCCUAUUUUGUUGGUUUCUAGGAUUGACGUA
Molecule: ribosomal RNA, 216 nt
Filed under: Glomeromycotina sp.
Lineage: Eukaryota; Fungi; Glomeromycota
Description: partial small subunit ribosomal RNA
Rfam family: Eukaryotic small subunit ribosomal RNA (bases 92-216)
Source: RNAcentral